GACCAUCCUUUCUGGUUUGCCUGGGACUGUGGGGCUUUCCUGGGAUGCAGGAUUUUCAGUGCUAAAACUGAGAAAGU
RNAcentral lists this microRNA precursor (77 nucleotides) under Tursiops truncatus (common bottlenose dolphin). RNAcentral describes it as "miRNA (ENSTTRG00000024938.1)". The record is from RNAcentral. Lineage: Eukaryota; Metazoa; Chordata; Mammalia; Artiodactyla; Delphinidae.